RNAcentral lists this unclassified non-coding RNA (418 nucleotides) under Hevea brasiliensis (rubber tree). The record is from RNAcentral. Lineage: Eukaryota; Viridiplantae; Streptophyta; Magnoliopsida; Malpighiales; Euphorbiaceae.
CAUGAGAUUGUGCCGGAAAAUGAGAUGCAAAAUGAGAUGAUACAUGAGCACAGCCAUGACAUUGUGCCUGAAAAUGAGAUGCAAAAUGAGCACAGCCAUGAGAUUAUGCCGGAAAAUGAGAUGAUACGUGAGCACAGCCAUGAGAUUGUGCGGGAAAAUGAGAUGAUACCUGAGCACAAUCAUGAGAUAGUGCCGGAAAAUGAGAUGAUACAUGAGUGCAGUCACGAGACAGUGCCACAAAAUGAGAUGGUACAUGAGCAUAGUCAUGAAAUGGUGCCAGAUAAUGAGAUGACACAUGAGCACACUCACGAGAUGGUGCCGGAAAAUGAGAUGACACAUGAUCAUAAUCACGAGAUGGUGCAGGAAAAUGAGAUGACACAUGAGCAUAAUCACGAGAUGGUGCCGGAAAAUGAGAUGA